GAUAAACGCUGGCGGCGUGCCUAACACAUGCAAGUCGAACGCCCUUUUGCGCAAGUGAGAGGGAGUGGCGGACGGGUGAGUACCACGUGGGUACCUACCUUGAGGUGAGGAAUACCACCGAGAAAUCGGUGACAAGACCGCAUACGCUUGGCAACAAGCAAAGUCUCGCAAGAGACGCCACAAGAUGGGCCUGCGCCUGAUUAGCUAGUUGGUGAGGUAAUGGCNCACCAAGGCGACGAUCAGUAGCUGGUCUGAGAGGAUGAUCGGCCACACUGGGAUUGAGAACGGCCCAGACUCCUACGGGGGGCAGCAGUGAGGAAUUUUCGUCAAUGGGGGCAACCCUGAACGAGCAACGCCGCGUGCAGGACGACACUUUUCGG
RNAcentral lists this ribosomal RNA (380 nucleotides) under uncultured bacterium. RNAcentral's name for it is "bacterial SSU rRNA". It matches the Rfam family "Bacterial small subunit ribosomal RNA", at positions 28 to 421 of the family's 1533-position model. The record is from RNAcentral.